RNAcentral lists this long non-coding RNA (271 nucleotides) under Homo sapiens (human). RNAcentral's name for it is "HSALNT0274845". The record is from RNAcentral. Lineage: Eukaryota; Metazoa; Chordata; Mammalia; Primates; Hominidae.
CCUGGGUAGUGCCUUUGCCCAUUAAUCCGGGUCAUGCCAGGUAGGGAGAUGCACUGUCUUUAGCAUGCUUACAGGGUCUCUGUGGUUGUGCUGGCCAAGAGGGCACACGGUGUCUCUUAGCAGAGUCCAGACAACCCCAUCAGGGUUGUUUUCAGUAAAUGCACAUGGAUGUUGAUUUUAUGGAACAUGGAACCUAUAUCCCACUGAUUGAUUUAUACACAGUGCUGGGUUCACAGGCCUGCCCUGGGGGGCUGGCUUACUCUGUGACAUA